GACGAACGCUGGCGGCGUGCUUAACACAUGCAAGUCGAACGGAAAGGCCCUGCUUUUGUGGGGUGCUCGAGUGGCGAACGGGUGAGUAACACGUGAGUAACCUGCCCUUGACUUUGGGAUAACUUCAGGAAACUGGGGCUAAUACCGGAUAGGAGCUCCUGCUGCAUGGUGGGGGUUGGAAAGUUUCGGCGGUUGGGGAUGGACUCGCGGCUUAUCAGCUUGUUGGUGGGGUAGUGGCUUACCAAGGCUUUGACGGGUAGCCGGCCUGAGAGGGUGACCGGCCACAUUGGGCCGGAGAUCCGGCCCAGACUCCUAGGGGGGGCAGCAGGGGGGAAUAUUGCCCAAUGGGCGGACGCCUGAUGCAGCACCCCCGCGUGCGGGAGGACGGCCUUGGGGUUGUAAACCUCUUUCGCCUGUGACGAAGCGUGAGUGACGGUAAUGGGUAAAGAAGCCCCGGCUACCUACGU
Molecule: ribosomal RNA, 467 nt
Filed under: uncultured bacterium
Lineage: Bacteria
Description: partial 16S ribosomal RNA
Rfam family: Bacterial small subunit ribosomal RNA
Source: RNAcentral